UUUCAUUCUCCCUUCCACCUGUGCACUUUCUGUAGAUCAGGUUGUCACCGUUCAGGUGUGCUCCGCACAGCUGUGAUUGAGGAUUUGCUCCAGCUGUCCUUGGAUGACCUGGUCUAUGUCUUAUCAACUCUUAAUGUAUGGUAUUGAAUGUCAGUCUGGGCUCUUUACAAGGCCCAUAAAUCCUAUACAACUUUCAACAACGGAUCUCUUGGCUCUCGCAUCGAUGAAGAACGCAGCGAAAUGCGAUAAGUAAUGUGAAUUGCAGAAUUCAGUGAAUCAUCGAAUCUUUGAACGCACCUUGCGCUCCUUGGUAUUCCGAGGAGCAUGCCUGUUUGAGUGUCAUUAAAUCCCUCAACCCCAUCUUCCUAGUGAAUGAAUGGUGUUGGAUGUGGGAGCUGCUGGCCUUGUUGUCAGCUCUUCUCAAAUGAAUUAGCAGGGCCCAUGUACAAGCUUCUCCAGCUUGGUAUUGAUAGAU
RNAcentral lists this ribosomal RNA (475 nucleotides) under Pluteus aurantiorugosus. RNAcentral's name for it is "eukaryotic LSU rRNA". The stretch from base 189 to 342 matches the Rfam family "5.8S ribosomal RNA". Lineage: Eukaryota; Fungi; Basidiomycota; Agaricomycetes; Agaricales; Pluteaceae. The record is from RNAcentral.